Molecule: ribosomal RNA, 253 nt
Filed under: uncultured bacterium
Lineage: Bacteria
Description: partial 16S ribosomal RNA
Rfam family: Bacterial small subunit ribosomal RNA
Source: RNAcentral
GACAGAGGGUGCAAACGUUGUUCGGAAUUACUGGGCGUAAAGCGUGUGUAGGCGGCCAUAUAAGUCGGCUGUGAAAGCCCUGGGCUCAACCCAGGAAGUGCACUCGAUACUGUAUGGCUAGAGUACUGGAGAGGUUGGUGGAAUUCUCGGUGUAGAGGUGAAAUUCGUAGAUAUCGAGAGGAACACCGGUGGCGAAGGCGGCCAACUGGACAGAUACUGACGCUGAGACACGAAAGCGUGGGGAGCAAACAGG